GAGGGUGUAGCUCGGUGGUAGAGCGUAUGCUUAGCACGCAUGAGGUCCUGGGUUCAAUCCUCAGUACCUCCA
Molecule: transfer RNA, 72 nt
Filed under: Camelus dromedarius (Arabian camel)
Lineage: Eukaryota; Metazoa; Chordata; Mammalia; Artiodactyla; Camelidae
Also listed under: 1 other name
Rfam family: tRNA
About the family: Transfer RNA (tRNA) molecules are approximately 80 nucleotides in length. Their secondary structure includes four short double-helical elements and three loops (D, anti-codon, and T loops).
Source: Rfam by way of RNAcentral